RNAcentral lists this ribosomal RNA (301 nucleotides) under uncultured bacterium. RNAcentral describes it as "partial 16S ribosomal RNA". It matches the Rfam family "Bacterial small subunit ribosomal RNA", at positions 509 to 807 of the family's 1533-position model. The record is from RNAcentral.
CAGCCGCCGCGGUAAUACGUAGGUGGCAAGCGUUGUCCGGAAUUAUUGGGCGUAAAGGGCUCGCAGGCGGCUUCUUAAGUCUGAUGUGAAAGCCCCCGGCUCAACCGGGGAGGGUCAUUGGAAACUGGGAAACUUGAGUGCAGAAGAGGAGAGUGGAAUUCCACGUGUAGCGGUGAAAUGCGUAGAGAUGUGGAGGAACACCAGUGGCGAAGGCGACUCUCUGGUCUGUAACUGACGCUGAGGAGCGAAAGCGUGGGGAGCGAACAGGAUUAGAGACCCCCGUAGUCCCUGUCUCUUAUAC